GAUGAACGCUGGCAGCGUGCCUAAUACAUGCAAGUCGAGCGAACAGAUAAGGAGCUUGCUCCUUUGAAGUUAGCGGCGGACGGGUGAGUAACACGUGGGUAACCUACCUAUAAGACUGGGAUAACUUCGGGAAACCGGAGCUAAUACCGGAUAACAUUUAGAACCGCAUGGUUCUAAAGUGAAAGAUGGUUUUGCUAUCACUUAUAGAUGGACCCGCGCCGUAUUAGCUAGUUGGUAAGGUAACGGCUUACCAAGGCGACGAUACGUAGCCGACCUGAGAGGGUGAUCGGCCACACUGGAACUGAGACACGGUCCAGACUCCUACGGGAGGCAGCAGUAGGGAAUCUUCCGCAAUGGGCGAAAGCCUGACGGAGCAACGCCGCGUGAGUGAUGAAGGGUUUCGGAUCGUAAAACUCUGUUAUUAGGGAAGAACAAAUGUGUAAGUAACUGUGCACAUCUUGACGGUACCUAAUCAGAAAGCCACGGCUAACUACGUG
Molecule: ribosomal RNA, 497 nt
Filed under: uncultured bacterium
Lineage: Bacteria
Description: partial 16S ribosomal RNA
Rfam family: Bacterial small subunit ribosomal RNA
Source: RNAcentral